AAUCAACGCUGGCGGCGUGCCUAACACAUGCAAGUCGAACGCGAAGACCCCGCAAGGGGUUGUAGCGUGGCAAACGGGUGAGUAACGCGUGGGCGACCUACCUCUGAGUGGGGGAUAACCUUCCGAAAGGGAGGCUAAUACCGCAUGACAUCCCAUUUUUAGAUAGAUGGACAAUCAAAGCCGGGGAUCGCAAGACCUGGCGCUUGGAGAGGGGCCCG
RNAcentral lists this ribosomal RNA (218 nucleotides) under uncultured bacterium. Its description in RNAcentral is "partial 16S ribosomal RNA". It matches the Rfam family "Bacterial small subunit ribosomal RNA", at positions 32 to 233 of the family's 1533-position model. The record is from RNAcentral.